This 406-nucleotide ribosomal RNA is filed under the name uncultured bacterium. Its description in RNAcentral is "partial 16S ribosomal RNA". It matches the Rfam family "Bacterial small subunit ribosomal RNA", at positions 30 to 526 of the family's 1533-position model. The record is from RNAcentral.
AUUGAACGCUGGCGGCAGGCCUAACACAUGCAAGUCGAACGAGUGGCGGACGGGUGAGUAAUGUCUGGGAAACUGCCCGAUGGAGGGGGAUAACUACUGGAAACGGUAGCUAAUACCGCAUACCCUCGAAUUGUCCCAGAUGGGAUUAGCUAGUAGGUGGGUUAACGGCUCACCAAGGCGACGCUCCCUACCUGGUCUGAGAGGAUGACCAGCCAAACUGGAACUGAGACACGGUCCAGACUCCUACGGGAGGCAGCAGUGGGGAAUAUUGCACAAUGGGCGCAAGCCUGAUGCAGCCAUGCCGCGUGUAUGAAGAAGGCCUUCGGGUUGUAAAGUACUUUCAGCGAGGAGGCGUUACUCGCAGAAGAAGCACCGGCUAACUCCGUGCCAGCAGCCGCGGUAAUAC